GGGAACCGCCUGAACUGAAACAUCUAAGUAGGGCGAGGAAGAGACAUCAAACGAGAUUCCGUAAGUAGUGGCGAGCGAACGCGGAAGAGGGCAAACCGGGAGUAGAAAUACUUCCGGGGUACGGACUGCUUUUAGGACUCAAUCUGUUAACCGAACGGCAUGGGAAGGCCGGUCAGAGAGUGUGAGAACCACGUAGGUGAAAACGGAGAGAGCUGCGCAGGAUCCAGAGUACGGCCAGACACGUGAAACCUGGUCGGAAUACGGGGGGACCACCCUCCAACCCUAAAUACUACCCAGUGACCGAUAGCGUAUAGUACUGUGAAGGAAAGGUGAAAAGCACCCCGGGAGGGGAGUGAAAAAGAACCUGAAACCCUGUGCCUACAAGCACCUAGAGCACGUCAAUGUGUGAUAGGGUACUUUUUGUAGAACGGUCCGGCGAGCGAUUGUAUGCAGCAAGGUUAAGGACUUAAGGUCUGGAGCCGAAGCGAAAGCGAGUUUGAAAAGGGCGUUAAGUUGCAUACAAUGGGCCCGAAACCGGGUGACCUACCCAUGGUCAGGUUGAAGUGGAAGUAAAAUUCCAUGGAGGACCGAACCGACCUCCGUUGAAAAGGCGGCGGAUGAACUGUGGGUAGCGGAGAAAUUCCAAUCGAACCCGGAGAUAGCUGGUUCUCCCCGAAAUAGUUUUAGGACUAGCCUCAAGUUAGAUACCUGGAGGUAAAGCACUGAAUAGCCUAGCGGCCGAGAGGUUAGCGAAGCUUAUCAAACUCAGAAUGCCAGAGUAUUGAUGCUUGGGAGUCAGACAGUGUCAGAUAAAUGUCAUUGUCAAAAGGGAAACAGCCCAGAUCUACAGCUAAGGUCCCAAAGUCAGGUUAAGUGGAAAACGAUGUGAAGAUACGUAGACAACCAGGAUGUUGGCUCAGAAGCAGCCACACAUUCAAAGAGUGCGUAAUAGCUCACUGGUCGAGCGUCUUUGCGCGGAGAAUUUAACGGGGCUAAACCUGACACCGAAGCUUAGGCAAUACAGCAAUGUAUUGGGUAGGGGAGCGUUGUAUACGCGGUGAAACAGUAGCGCAAGCGGCUGUGGAGUGUAUAGAAGUGAGAAUGCCGGAAUGAGUAGCGCGAAUGCAGUGAGAAUCUGCAUGGCCGAAAGCCUCAGGUUUCUGGAGGAAGGUUCGUCCGCUCCAGGUUAGUCGGGAGCUAAGGUGAGGCCUAACGGCGUAGCCGAUGCACAGACGGUAGAGAUUCCGUCACCACCAAAAGAGUUAAACACAGGGACACAUUUGAAGUCUCGGAGCCGGGUGUUGGUUCCGGUAGCGAUCGAGGGAAGUUAGUACCGAAGUCCGGGAUGGAAGAUGGCGAGAAAAGCUGUGUGUAUUUCUGCGGUGCCCGUACCGCAAACCGACACAGGUAGGUAGGAAGAAGAUUCUAAGGCCAACGGGAGAAGGGUUGUUAAGGAACUCGGCAAAUUGACCCCGUAACUUCGGGAGAAGGGGUGCUCCAGAGAUGGAGCCGCAGAGAAUCGGCCCAAGCAACUGUUUACCAAAAACACAGGUUUGUGCUAAAUCGAAAGAUGACGUAUACGAGCUGACGCCUGCCCGGUGCUGGAAGGUUAAGAGGAGAUGUGCAAGCAUUGAAUCGAAGCCCCAGUGAACGGCGGCCGUAACUAUAACGGUCCUAAGGUAGCGAAAUUCCUUGUCAGGUAAGUUCUGACCCGCAUGAAAGGCGUAAUGAUUUGGGCACUGUCUCAACAGCCCGCCCGGCGAAAUUGUAGUACCGGUGAAGAUGCCGGUUACCCGCGACAAGACGGAAAGACCCCAUGGAGCUUUACUGUAGCCUAAUAUUGGGUUUCGAUGUUGCAUGCACAGGAUAGAUGGGACACAGGGAAACAAGUGCUUUGGCAUUUGUGGAGUGGCCGUUGGGAUACCAUCCUUGCGAUAUUGGAAUUCUAACCUGCGCCUUUGAAUCAAGGCGGGGGACAUUGUUAGGUGGGCAGUUUGACUGGGGCGGUCGCCUCCUAAAGAGUAACGGAGGCGUUCAAAGGUUCGCUCAGCUUGAACGGAAAUCAAGCAAAAGAGUGCAAACGCAGAAGCGAGCCUAACUGCGAGACUGACGGGUCGAGCAGUAACGAAAGUUGGAGUUAGUGAUCCGGUGGUAUGUGAGUGGAAAUGCCAUCGCUCAACGGAUAAAAGUUACCCUGGGGAUAACAGGCUGAUCUCCCCCAAGAGUCCACAUCGACGGGGAGGUUUGGCACCUCGAUGUCGGCUCA
Molecule: ribosomal RNA, 2266 nt
Filed under: human gut metagenome
Description: bacterial LSU rRNA
Rfam family: Bacterial large subunit ribosomal RNA
Source: RNAcentral